This 253-nucleotide ribosomal RNA is filed under the name uncultured bacterium. RNAcentral describes it as "partial 16S ribosomal RNA". It matches the Rfam family "Bacterial small subunit ribosomal RNA", at positions 524 to 776 of the family's 1533-position model. The record is from RNAcentral.
UACGUAGGGAGCAAGCGUUGUCCGGAAUCAUUGGGCGUAAAGCGCGCGUAGGCGGCCCGGUAAGUCCGCUGUAAAAGUCAAAGGCUCAACCUUUGAAUGUCAGUGGAUACUGCCGGGCUAGAGUCCGGAAGAGGCGAGUGGAACUCCUGGUGUAGCGGUGGAAUGCGCAGAUAUCAGGAAGAACACCAACGGCGAAGGCAGCUCGCUGGGACGGAACUGACGCUAAGGCGCGAAAGCGUGGGGAGCGAACAGG